CAUUGCACUCAUCUCGGUCUGA
RNAcentral lists this microRNA (22 nucleotides) under Strongylocentrotus purpuratus (purple sea urchin). RNAcentral describes it as "Spu-Mir-92-o13_3p (mature (guide))". Lineage: Eukaryota; Metazoa; Echinodermata; Echinoidea; Camarodonta; Strongylocentrotidae. The record is from RNAcentral. RNAcentral also lists the same sequence under 1 other name.